Molecule: long non-coding RNA, 2204 nt
Organism: Melopsittacus undulatus (budgerigar)
Lineage: Eukaryota; Metazoa; Chordata; Aves; Psittaciformes; Psittaculidae
Exons: 4
Source: RefSeq, a predicted model, not a curated record
AGUUUCUCAGAGGUGUGCGGCAGCAGAGCGUGGUGUUGCACGAUGACUGAUGUGUGGGUUUUAUGCAGUGCUUGCCAGCAAAGAUGCAGAUUGGGGUUGGUUGCUGUUCUUCACAUUAAACUGUCCCAGAUGCCUCAUGGAGGUACUUAUUCUCUUUCAUUCUGCAAAUGAACUCAAAUAGUUAUGGGAAAAGUUAUGAGUCCUACAGUUGGACAUUUCAACAUUGUGUUUCCUACCAUGGAAAAUGGUAGCUCAGAGGCAGAAGUUACAACCAACAAGACGCAUAGUUGGGAGAGAACAUGCUCUACCAUGAAAACAAAACAUGGAUGCUAAUACCAGAGAUGUUUGGAAACAGUGAUUUAAGGAAAUAGUUCCACAAGCAGCAGACCUUUGAAAUAGCCUUUUGAUUGAGCCAUGGUACUUCCUUCUCCUUUUUGUUUGACCUGGAAGGGACAACAGAUGUUGCAUGUUGUCCAGACCUGCAUGUGUGACUGAGCAGUCAAUACUUCUUCAAGAAACAAACCCAAAUAAAUGCCAUGUACCUCUGAUGUUGGUGAACUGAAAAAGUGCCUUUCCAGGCUACAUGCAACCUCAAUACAUGCUUAAUAUUUAUGCAGGCCCCUUGUAAAAAGUUGUUUCCAUUAAAAGCCCUACCCUGUUAUCAGAUUUGGAUGAAGCUGGACAAAAUGCUUUCAUGAAGUUCACAUAAGCCUUGUUUCCCUGAGAAAUAAGCAAAAAUCUGUAAACUGUAUGUGAAGAUGUUUCCAGAAUUCUUGGAAAACUUGAACUAGUUCAAGCAUAUCAACAAAGAAAGAGGAUCAAGGAAGGUGUUUGGGCAGAAGGAUUUGGUUGCUCACAUGGGCAGCUGAUUCAGCCUUAGGACAUCAUUCUUCAUGGUGAGAACUUCUAAAUAGCUCCUAGUGUCAAAACUGAACCUGUGAGCUUCCUGUUCUAUUUCUACUCUGUGCAGAAGCCUCCGCUGCUGUUACUGCUUUCCUCACCAGUGUAGUUACCAUUUCUCUACUUUGUGACACCUCAACUUUCUCUUUGAGCUCAGGAUGCUGACAUUCUGCAGGAGGCUCUCAGCUGGGCCCUGAACUGGUGCUGCAAUGGUUAGCAGUGUUAUCAUGAAGAUCAUUUCUAACAUAAAAGGUACAUGCAAAAAAGGUAUUUGCUCAUUUUUUAAUAUAAAAGGUAAAUGCAAAACUCUUAUGACAUUGAAUAACUGUCACUGGAACUUAAUUUGGAUAAAUACCCUAAGGUGAAGCUUUCAUCUUAACUAGAGGUGAAUGAACUUAUUACGAGCAGCAUCCCAUUUUUGAGAGGUUUAUAUUUGCAUCCAUGAGCCUAUCUGUGAUCUUUAAUCUUUUGAGUCUGCAAAUUUUGGCUGGAGAAUUUCCAGAAAAGAAGUAUUGCACCUCCCACUGUGAGUUAUACAGGAAAAGUCUUGCUCUGGAGACUUUGGAGGGGCAGUCUAUCCAAAUCCCACAGAACUUGGGAUGGAUCUUACUCUGAAGGCAGAUAAAAGUGUUGAAAUCUCAGCUGGGUAUGUCUGCAUACACUUCCGUCAUACUUUUGAUUAGAAUGAGAUAUAACCUGAGAGUUCGGCCUGUCGUAGCCUGUGGUUUCUAGUCUAGCAAGUCACAACUUUGUGCAAUGUAGACAUAUAUCCCUACAUGGAUAACACCAAUGCAGUUCAACAAUGCCGAGUUCCCCCUGGGCACAAGCUAAUGAAGGUGAAUCAGAGCUUCAUGAUAACUUGAAAUGUGCUAACAAACACAGGCAAUGGGCUACCUCCUUUGCAAACAGCUUUUUCUAUUUCUGGCUGUGUUCCCCAUGUACCAGACAAGCCAGUUUUCUGCAUAUUUUCAUCUGGUGCUGUGCACUCCACUCUGGGAAUUCCUCCCAAUGUGAAGCUUACCUGACCUUGCAGAAAAGGUGUCUGGUACCAACAAUAAAAUAGACUUUGCAGCUGCAACUGCUAUUAGGUUUGCAUGCUAAUCGGCUAAAGGUAUUGUAAAUGCACAAGACCCAUAGAAAAAACACUUAACGUCAUUAUGAGAGAAACACAGUGAGCAAAGCAUGUCACCAUGUCACAUGAUGAAGUAAAAGACUAUAUUAACAGUGUAAACAACUGUUGUUCCAUGUAUUCCCCUUGUAUUUGUGUAUGUAUGUCUGAGAUUUUCUGGUAUGUUUAACUAUUC